RNAcentral lists this ribosomal RNA (484 nucleotides) under uncultured soil bacterium. Its description in RNAcentral is "bacterial SSU rRNA". It matches the Rfam family "Bacterial small subunit ribosomal RNA", at positions 26 to 527 of the family's 1533-position model. The record is from RNAcentral.
AGGAUGAACGCUGGCGGCGUGCUUAACACAUGCAAGUCGAACGGUGAAGCAGGAGCUUGCUCCUGUGGAUCAGUGGCGAACGGGUGAGUGACACGUGAGAAAUCUGCCCUGGACUCUGGGAUAAGCGUUGGAAACGACGUCUAAUACCGGAUACGAGCUUCAGCCGCAUGGCUAGGAGCUGGAAAGAACUUCGGUCCAGGAUGAUCUCGCGGCCUAUCAGCUAGUUGGUGAGGUAACGGCCCACCAAGGCGACGACGGGUAGCCGGCCUGAGAGGGUGACCGGCCACACUGGGACUGAGACACGGCCCAGGCUCCUACGGGAGGCAGCAGUGGGAAUAUUGCACAAUGGGCGCAAGCCUGAUGCAGCAACGCCGCGUGAGGACGACGGCCUUCGGUUGUAAACCUCGUUUAGUAGGAAGAAGCGAAAGUGACGGUACUGCAGAAAAGCACCGGCUAACUACGUGUCAGCAGCCGCGGUAAUCUA